GAUGAACGCUGGCGGCGUGCCUAAUACAUGCAAGUAGAACGCUGAAGGAGGAGCUUGCUCUUCUGGAUGAGUUGCGAACGGGUGAGUAACGCGUAGGUAACCUGCCUGGUAGCGGGGGAUAACUAUUGGAAACGAUAGCUAAUACCGCAUGACAACAGUUAUUGCAUGAUAACUGUUUAAAAGGGGCAACUGCUCCACUACCAGAUGGACCUGCGUUGUAUUAGCUAGUUGGUGAGGUAACGGCUCACCAAGGCGACGAUACAUAGCCGACCUGAGAGGGGGAUCGGACACACUGGGACUGAGACACGGCCCAGACGGCUACGGGGGGCAGCAGUAGGGAAUCUUCGGCAAUGGACGGAAGGAUGACCGAGCAACGCCGCGUGAGUGAAGAAGGUUUUCGGAUCGUAAAGCUCUGUUGUAAGAGAAGAACGAGUGUGAGAGUGGAAAGUUCACAAUGUGACGGUAUCUUACCAGAAAGGGACGGCUAAAUACGUG
Molecule: ribosomal RNA, 495 nt
Filed under: uncultured bacterium
Lineage: Bacteria
Description: partial 16S ribosomal RNA
Rfam family: Bacterial small subunit ribosomal RNA
Source: RNAcentral